UACGAGGGGUGCAAGCGUUAUUCGGAAUUACUGGGCGUAAAGGGCGUGUAGGCGGCUUUGUAAGUCAUUUGUCAAAGACCAUUACAUAAUGAUGGGGAGGCAAGUGAAACUACGGAGCUCGAGGAUAGGAGAGAGAAGUGGAAUUCUUGGAGUAGCGGUAAAAUGCGUAGAUCUCAAGAGGAACACCGAUGGCGAAGGCAGCUUCUUGGCCUAUAUCUGACGCUGAGGCGCGAAAGCGUGGGGAGCAAACAGG
This 253-nucleotide ribosomal RNA is filed under the name uncultured bacterium. Its description in RNAcentral is "partial 16S ribosomal RNA". It matches the Rfam family "Bacterial small subunit ribosomal RNA", at positions 524 to 776 of the family's 1533-position model. The record is from RNAcentral.